CCUACGGGGUGCUGCAGUAGGGAAUCUUCCACAAUGGGCGCAAGCCUGAUGGAGCAACACCGCGUGAGUGAAGAAGGGUUUCGGCUCGUAAAGCUCUGUUGUUAGAGAAGAAAGUGAGUGAGAGUAACUGUUAGCGCAGUGACGGUAUCCAACCAGCAAGUCACGGCUAACGACGUGCCAGCAGCAGCGGUAAAACGUAGGUGGCAAGCGUUAUCCGGAUUUAUUGGGCGUAAAGCGGGCGCAGGCGGUUGCUUAGGUCUGGUGUGAAAGCCUUGGGCUUAACCGAAGAAGUGCAUCGGAAAUCGGGCAACUUGAGUGCAGGAGGGGAAAGUGGAACUCCAUGUGUAGCGGUGGAAUGCGUAGAUAUAUGGAAGAACACCAGUGGCGAAGGCGGCUGUCUGGUCUGCAACUGACGCUGAGGCUCGAAAGCAUGGGUAGCGAACAGGAUUAGAUACCCCUGUAGUC
This 465-nucleotide ribosomal RNA is filed under the name uncultured bacterium. RNAcentral describes it as "partial 16S ribosomal RNA". It matches the Rfam family "Bacterial small subunit ribosomal RNA", at positions 338 to 795 of the family's 1533-position model. The record is from RNAcentral.